AAGAUAUCAAGCAAAGUUUGGCAACACUGAAAAAUGCAGUCCAUUUUAUACAUGACUGUGUCUUGGUUCAUAAGACUCAAUGACCGGUUCAGAUUUCCUGGGCCAUCUUUCUAAAUUAUGCUAAAAUUAUGCUAAGCUACUUUAAAAUGAGAUGAAGGAUAGUGUGUGAUAACGCUUAAAAAAAAAAAAUCCUUCAAGUGAUGGUUCUCAAUCAGGGGUGAUGUUGCCCUUGGGGAACAUAAAAGACAAGAUAAAUGUGGUUUUUGUUUGUGAAUCUCUUUCACUCCUAUGUGAUUUAAAAGACAACUGCGUAAAGCAAUAAUUAUAAAUCUCUGUGGACGGGCACAUAAAGUAUAAAGAUGUAAUCUUUAUGACAAGAUGAGCACAAAGGAGGAUGGGAAAGGAGAGCCACAGCAGCAAAGGGUUUGUAUGCUCUUGAAAUUAAGCUGGUACUAAGGCAAACCAGAUGGGGAUAAGUUUGUUCACUGCAGACUGCAGAGCAACCACGAUGUUAAGUUUUACAUAACUUUUAAAAAAAAGAGAGAAUCGAAAUGUACCCUAGAAAAUGUCUCGUGAACAUCAAAGAUGACCGUGUUGGAGGAAGAGGAACAAAAGAAGAACACAGAUUUGUUUCUUUUUAUUUAUUUGAUUUCACAGACAAGUGAAAACAUACCCUAUAAGAUACCUAAGUUAUAAGGAUGUCACGUACCGCCCAGGGACUCCAGCUCAUGGCUGUUAGAACCCUGACAUACAGUUUGAGCGACACAAUUAUCGAAUCACUAUGGCGUACACGGGAACCUCACAGAAUGUCGAAAGAGAGCUAAUGACUUCAAUAAAAAAAAUAAAUGCAGACAGAGGAGAGUCUUCCUUAGAGGAGAAUGGCAGUUAAUAAACACACAUCAAAGAGUCAGACAAGGAAAAGAAAAUGGAGACAACAAAUAGCAAAAUGCCACAUAUGAAUCCUCUCUAAUAAGAGUAAUAUAUGCAAAUGGUCAAACACCCCAGGUAAAAGGUAAACACGGGCAGAAUGGAUGAAAAAAAGAAAAACCACAUGAUCCAACCAUGUGCUAUCACUAGACACACCAAAGACUGAAAGGCACAGAGAGGGUGAAAGGAAGAGAAUGGAAAAGACGUCCAAUGGACACAGUAACCAAAAGAGAGUCAGACUGGCCACAUCAGACAAAGGAGACGGAAGAGAAACAUUUCUAUGAGAAAGAAACAUUUCUACCACAAAGAAACACCUUCAAUAGAAACAUUUUAUCAUGAUAAAGGGGUCCCUCCAUCAAGAGGAUGCCAUUAUAAACACAUAUGAACCUAACAACAAAGCCCCAAACACAUAAAACAAAAACUGACCAAGCUGAAGGGAGAAAUGGUUGUGGGAGACUUUGAUGCCACACUUUCAGUAAUGGACAGAACAGCUAGACUGAAUAUUAGCCAGGAAUAUGCCACACCGGCUUUAAAACCCUUAACUACCUAAAGACCAUAAACCAGUGAGAGGGGAUGAUAUGAUGACACAGUCCAUCCAACCAUGAGGAAAUAGGCAUUCGUCUCAAGCUCAAAAGGAGCAUUCUCCAAGACAAUAUGUUAGGCUACAAAACAAGUCUCAGUAAAUUCACAGAUGAUCAAACUCAUAGCAAAUAUUUCCCUGACCAACAAUGGGAUGAAAUGAGAACUCAGUCACGAAGGAAAUGUGGGGAAGUCACCCACAUGCCAAAGCUAAACAACACAUGCUUAAGCACUCAAUGGUCCAAAGAGAAAUUAUAAGGGACGUGGAAGAUAUAUGGGGAUAAUGAAAACACAAGCAUACCAAAAGGCACGGGAUGCAACAGAAGCAGUGUCUAAUGUCCAUGGACAGAUGAGUGAAGAAAGAUGGGGUACAUGCAUAACAAUCGAAUACGACUCAGCCACGAAAAAGAAUGAAGUAAUGCCAUUGGUAGCCAUACAGACAGACCUAGAGAUAACAUUCCAAGUGAGGUGACUCAGACAGAGAAAGACAAAUGCCAUAUUUCUGACACAUGGAAUCUAAAAUAGGACACAAAUGAACUUAUCCAGGAAACAGAAACAGACCCACAGACUUGGAAAACAGACUUGUGGUUGCCAAGGGGGAGGGGGUGAGAGGCAAUGGAGUGGGAGUUUGGGAUUAGCACAUGCAAACUAUUACAUACAGAAUGGCUACAUAACCAGGUCCUACUGUACAGCACAAGAACGAUACUCAAUAUCCUGAGAUAAACCCUAGUGGAAAAGAAUAUUUUUAAAAAGAAUGUAUGUACAAACAUUCCUAUGUACACAUAUAUUUAUACAUUCAUGUGUGUGUGUGUAUGCGUAACUGAAUCACUUUGCUGUACAGCAGAAAGUCCCAAAGGCUUCCUUCCCCAGCUGGGUCGAGAGCGGCCAUUCCUUUUCAAGACCUGCCUUCCACAGCCGUUCCCAUGACUCCUUCCUGCUACCUCCUCCUUCCUGUUACUUGAUCCCACCUGUUGGCAUUUGGGAUCUCUUACUGAAGGCACCCCAAGUCAGGGUCGGAAGUAGCAUGGAGACAGGGCCAAAAAUGGUUCAAACUGAGAACAAUGCAAAUCAUUCUAAAAUGCAGGACAUGCACUGAAAUGAAAACAGAGAGCGAGCACACAGUGCCCCUCCUUUAAAGAGACACAAGCCGUUGUGUCACAGGCGUACUUCCUCAGCUUUUAUGCAGAGUUUUGUACUUUAUGGUGUGGAUGUCGGGGGGGGCAGGGGGGGAGAAGUUCAGACAAGUCAACUGUAAAAAGAUGAGAGGGGUUAAGACUGGAGAAACUCGAGCUGUCAUCCUGUUGGCUCAGCUCCUCACUGCACAGCCCUGGGCAUCUACUCCCUCCCUGGCCUCUGUGGGUCGGUGACAUCUGUAAAAUGCUGGUCCAGAUCAUUUGGUCUCUUCACAGUAACAAAACCCUAAACUUCUGGGUGGAUUCGUUUGCUCUGACUGCCAUAACAAAGCACUGCAGACCGGGGGCUUAAGCAACAGCAAAGUAACUUUGUGAUGGUCCAGGGGGAUGGAGCCUCAAGUCAAGGGGUCAGCAGGGUAGGUCCCUCCUGAGGUCUCUCGCCAGGGCAUAGAGACGGCCGUCUUGUCCCCCGUGUCCUCAAAGGGUGUGUCUGUGUCCUGACGUCCUAAGGACCCCAGUCACAGUGGAUCUGGACCCACCCUAAUGGCCUUAUUUCACCUGAAUUACCUUUUUAGAGACCCUGACUCCAAAGGCAGCUCUACAGAGAUCCUGGGGGCUGGGGCUUCGACAUGGGGACUUGGGUGGGACAUACUUCAGCCCACAACACUGAGUGACAGAUUUGCAUCUACUUGGUAGGUCUUUCUAUCAAAGGCAAGGACAGCCAAUUAGAAUGGUCCUUCUGGGUUUUUUAUAGGCAGGCACUAAGAACAUAACCCGGAAACAAGGGUCAAGUUUUUUUUAAAGAACAGAGGUUUGCAUAACAUAAACUGGUUCACCUAUCUCAGAUUCUAUUUAACUUGACCCAGGAUUGCCGCCAAGAUAAAGAAAGAGUAAGGCGUGCCUUUGGGACUCAAAAGCAGUGACAUGGGUGCUUUCUCGACCCAAACAGGCAGAGUUUGGGCACCACGGGUGGAGCUCAACUGACCCAGCUCUCCUACGGCAGGGGGUCUGGGAGAGGAGGCAGCAAAAGUGCCCGCCCUAUUUUCAAAGAGCUCUCUCAGCAAAAGAUCUCCGAGGCCCAGGGAGUGCCGCUGGGGAGAUGCUGUCUCUUGCCCCCUCGUUGUCCAGGAGGCAGCAUCUCCCCAGCGGCACUUCCUGGGCCUCAGACACAGAAUGAAGGCUGGUUCCUGUUCAUUUCUGACUCGUGGAUAUAUGAUCUUAUACAGUGUCACACUAAGUCGGACAAAGUACACGGAAGAAACCCAUUGAUCAAACCCAUGGCAUCUUCGUGGCCCUGCCUAGGACGUGCACGGACGUGGGGCGUAUACUGGAAGAAGGCAGAAUUCUCAACAGGUUCAAAGAUGACUGGAUGCAGGUGGGAAGACAUUUAGCUAUGCAAGAAAUGCAAACUCCAAUCAGCUGGGUGGGAAAAGCUUUUUUUUUUCCCCCUAACGCAUAGGCACCUCUCAACUUCCAAAACAUUCACAAGAGACGUUUCAGGCAAGGCAGGUCAACUGAGUACGUUCUAGUGUGUUAUUUAUUAUUUUAUCACUUGUACUGUUUUAAUUGAAUUUGGCCUACUGGGAUGAUAAGGCUGUAAAUAAACUCUUAAAUACACGCCGAGAUGACUAAUUUUCACACGCAACUGAAGACAUUAUCACAACUCUACUGGAAGCGUCAAGGGAACUUUAUGUUUCUCGGCUGCACCCACAGCAGGCGGAAGUCCCUGGGCCAGGGGUCGGACCCGCUCCACAGCCCUGACCCCGCGGCAGCAGUGAUCACGCUGGAUCCUUAACCUGCUGAGCCACAAAGCAACGUCCCCACUCAUCACUUCUCUAAACUUCCUUUGUUAGGCGCGGAGGGAACGGCUGGGUAUUCAGAAAGGUUUCCUGUGUUGAUUGAGACGAAGGAACUCCUGGACAAGGAAAUACAAACUCCUAGCUGUAUAAAUGCAGCUACAAGAGCCUGAAGGUGUUUAAGCAGAUUAACAAAUGUGUAGACAGAGUCAAACACUGUUACGACCUCUUAAAAGUAGUGAUAAACAUCUAGAAUUGUCAGCAGACGAAGCAGACACUACGUGCUUAAGGGACAGGGAUGCUUCCGCGCCUUUAACGCAAACACCGAUGACAUUUUAAACCCCCGGCGCACAGGAGCCAACCCAGAACACGGAAUCACAUCAGUCAUAAGCUCCCGGGCGGGUCGGCGAUGCGCGUGAGAAAGGGCUGGAACCCAAGGGCACGGCGGGCGGAGAGCCGCUACGCAGGAUGGACUCGUGGUCCUGGCACCCCCAGAACGAGGGUCCCAGCAUCAGGGGGUGGGGCUAGGGGUGGCGGGGAGGUUUGGAAAUAAUAAGAUAGUUCGGCAGGUGCGGGAAGGGUACUCUGACCAUGGGCCUGACCAUCAAGCUUCCGUCUGGGGAAACAUAUUCCUGUGGUUAUCGAAGGGCUGGACACCUUGAUCAUUUCAGGCCCUCUGUUUACACACUAGUGUCCACGCAACGAGCGAUGGCGCAGACAAAGCUCAGGCAGCCGUCAGAGGAAAGAUCAGGGCCCCCAUGGUGACCCCUGCAAGAGUAACAAGAGUUAUGUACACGCUGGAUCAUAGGUUCCCAAGCUCCCACCCCCACCAUCUCCUUUCCAUCAAGUGGCAACUGCUGAUUAAGCCUAAUUGCAUCUC
Molecule: long non-coding RNA, 5315 nt
Filed under: Sus scrofa (pig)
Lineage: Eukaryota; Metazoa; Chordata; Mammalia; Artiodactyla; Suidae
Description: lncRNA (ENSSSCG00015070730.1)
Source: RNAcentral